GUGCUCAGUUCGGUAACAUAUAUACUAAAAUUGGAACGAUACAGAGAAGAUUAGCAUGGCCCCUGCACAAGGAUGACAUGCAAAUUCGUGAAGCGUUCCAUAUUUUU
Molecule: small nuclear RNA, 107 nt
Filed under: Octodon degus (degu)
Lineage: Eukaryota; Metazoa; Chordata; Mammalia; Rodentia; Octodontidae
Source: RNAcentral